UGGGGAAUUUUGGACAAUGGGGGCAACCCUGAUCCAGCAAUGCCGCGUGAGUGAAGAAGGCCUUCGGGUUGUAAAGCUCUUUCGGCCGGGACAAAAUCGCACCGUCUAACAAGUGGUGUGGAUGACGGUACCGGAAGAAGAAGCACCGGCUAACUACGUGCCAGCAGCCGCGGUAAUACGUAGGGUGCGAGCGUUAAUCGGAAUUACUGGGCGUAAAGCGUGCGCAGGCGGUUUUGUAAGCCAGAUGUGAAAUCCCCGGGCUUAACCUGGGAACUGCAUUUGGGACUGCAAGGCUGGAGUACGGCAGAGGGAGGUGGAAUUCCACGUGUAGCAGUGAAAUGCGUAGAGAUGUGGAGGAACACCGAUGGCGAAGGCAGCCUCCUGGGCUAGUACUGACGCUCAUGCACGAAAGCGUGGGGAGCAAA
Molecule: ribosomal RNA, 425 nt
Filed under: uncultured bacterium
Lineage: Bacteria
Description: bacterial SSU rRNA
Rfam family: Bacterial small subunit ribosomal RNA
Source: RNAcentral